Molecule: transfer RNA, 73 nt
Organism: Ovis aries (sheep)
Lineage: Eukaryota; Metazoa; Chordata; Mammalia; Artiodactyla; Bovidae
Rfam family: tRNA
About the family: Transfer RNA (tRNA) molecules are approximately 80 nucleotides in length. Their secondary structure includes four short double-helical elements and three loops (D, anti-codon, and T loops). Further hydrogen bonds mediate the characteristic L-shaped molecular structure. tRNAs have two regions of fundamental functional importance: the anti-codon, which is responsible for specific mRNA codon recognition, and the 3' end, to which the tRNAs corresponding amino acid is attached (by aminoacyl-tRNA synthetases). tRNAs cope with the degeneracy of the genetic code in two manners: having more than one tRNA (with a specific anti-codon) for a particular amino acid; and 'wobble' base-pairing, i.e. permitting non-standard base-pairing at the 3rd anti-codon position.
Source: Rfam
UCCCUGAUGGUCCAGUGGUUAGGACUCUGCGCUUUCACUGCCGAGGGUGUGGGUUCAAUCCCCAGUCAAGGAA